RNAcentral lists this transfer RNA (72 nucleotides) under Nannocystis sp. RNAcentral describes it as "tRNA-Val". It matches the Rfam family "tRNA". Rfam says of the family: Transfer RNA (tRNA) molecules are approximately 80 nucleotides in length. Their secondary structure includes four short double-helical elements and three loops (D, anti-codon, and T loops). Further hydrogen bonds mediate the characteristic L-shaped molecular structure. tRNAs have two regions of fundamental functional importance: the anti-codon, which is responsible for specific mRNA codon recognition, and the 3' end, to which the tRNAs corresponding amino acid is attached (by aminoacyl-tRNA synthetases). tRNAs cope with the degeneracy of the genetic code in two manners: having more than one tRNA (with a specific anti-codon) for a particular amino acid; and 'wobble' base-pairing, i.e. permitting non-standard base-pairing at the 3rd anti-codon position. The record is from RNAcentral. Lineage: Bacteria; Pseudomonadati; Myxococcota; Nannocystales; Nannocystaceae.
AGGCGGGUAGCUCAGCGGUAGAGCAGCGCCCUUACAAGGCGACGGUCGCAGGUUCGAUCCCUGUUCCGCCUA